RNAcentral lists this ribosomal RNA (557 nucleotides) under uncultured bacterium. RNAcentral's name for it is "bacterial SSU rRNA". It matches the Rfam family "Bacterial small subunit ribosomal RNA", at positions 102 to 694 of the family's 1533-position model. The record is from RNAcentral.
ACGGGUGAGUAACGCGUGGGAACGUGCCUUCUGGUUCGGAAUAACUCAGGGAAACUUGAGCUAAUACCGGAUACGCCCUUUUGGGGAAAGGUUUACUGCCGGAAGAUCGGCCCGCGUCUGAUUAGCUAGUUGGUGGGGCAACGGCCUACCAAGGCGACGAUCAGUAGCUGGUCUGAGAGGAUGAUCAGCCACACUGGGACUGAGACACGGCCCAGACUCCUACGGGAGGCAGCAGUGGGGAAUAUUGGACAAUGGGCGCAAGCCUGAUCCAGCCAUGCCGCGUGAGUGAUGAAGGCCUUAGGGUUGUAAAGCUCUUUUAUCCGGGACGAUAAUGACGGUACCGGAGGAAUAAGCCCCGGCUAACUUCGUGCCAGCAGCCGCGGUAAUACGAAGGGGGCUAGCGUUGCUCGGAAUCACUGGGCGUAAAGGGCGCGUAGGCGGUCUUUUAAGUCGGGGGUGAAAGCCUGUGGCUCAACCACAGAAUUGCCUUCGAUACUGGGAGACUUGAGUUCGGAAGAGGUUGGUGGAACUGCGAGUGUAGAGGUGAAAUUCGUAGA